AGUGGGGAAUCUUAGACAAUGGGGGCAACCCUGAUCUAGCCAUGCCGCGUGAGUGAUGAAGGCCUUAGGGUUGUAAAGCUCUUUCAGCUGGGAAGAUAAUGACGGUACCAGCAGAAGAAGCCCCGGCUAACUCCGUGCCAGCAGCCGCGGUAAUACGGAGGGGGCUAGCGUUGUUCGGAAUUACUGGGCGUAAAGCGCACGUAGGCGGACCAGAAAGUUGGGGGUGAAAUCCCGGGGCUCAACCUCGGAACUGCCUUCAAAACUAUUGGUCUGGAGUUCGAGAGAGGUGAGUGGAAUUCCGAGUGUAGAGGUGAAAUUCGUAGAUAUUCGGAGGAACACCAGUGGCGAAGGCGGCUCACUGGCUCGAUACUGACGCUGAGGUGCGAAAGCGUGGGGAGCAAA
Molecule: ribosomal RNA, 402 nt
Filed under: Paracoccus huijuniae
Lineage: Bacteria; Pseudomonadati; Pseudomonadota; Alphaproteobacteria; Rhodobacterales; Paracoccaceae
Also listed under: 1 other name
Description: bacterial SSU rRNA
Rfam family: Bacterial small subunit ribosomal RNA
Source: RNAcentral